AUUCGGAAAUUUCAGUCGGCUCGACCGCCCGAGGAGUUGCGUUUUCGACGGCGAGCCAGACCGGCGGCGGCGGCACGAAGCGGAGAGUGCGCGCGCCGGUGCAGGUAGUACGCCUGCAGCGGGCGGCCUCUGGUUGGCGACACGUCCAGGAGCAGCUAUCGGACUCGCUCUUGGACGGCUGCCGAGGGGAGGGGGAAGGAACAGGCAGUGGAGGUCGAGGUGGAGGCGGCGCCCGUUGCCCAGUUUUUGUUCGUCGCGGACGCGCAAUCCACCCGGACGGCCCCCAAAAUUAUUCCAGAUGAUCGAGCUAGUCGUGGAAAAAUGUCUCUGAAAUCUUCACGUUUCCCCUCAAAUCACGUACUGGAUGGAUUACGAAACGGAAAUUUGAACUGUGCAUCCACUGAUUGCUGGCUACUCUGUUUUGAACCGUGGAGGUGAUGUUCGCGACGAUGAGUUGUUGGUGAUGACCCUCACUCGAUUGUGGGCUCCCAGAAGCUUCAUCCUUAGCUUUGUUGGAGAAAGAGCACCAGCCUGCGGGAACCUCAAAGCUAGGUCCCUAGGCUGGACUGGAACCCUACCCCUGCAGGCAAGCAGUCCUUCCCACUCAGAUCAAUUACAGCACAGAGGGAUGGGGAGGGAGACUGCUGCUACACCGCCACAUCUUUCUGUGUCAGCGUGGUGCCUCUCAGAAAAUAUUUUAUGGCUCAAGUCCUGGCCUUUUCACCGGCCCAUCUCACAUCAUCAUUCGCUCACUCACGUCGCCCUAUCCUCUCAUAUCCAGCGUCACAACUCACAAGACUUGGUUGGAUGCUGUCAGCGGGUAUGAACAAUUGAAUAUACUUUUGUCUUGUACCCGCUUCGCCAUUUGCAAAUUUUGACCAAAGUUGUUCUCGCGGGCGCCGUACGUAAGUUGGUUACUGGAUACUGCUGCCACUGACCUCACUGGGAUUUUGUGACUGGCCAAGGUUCAUGUGUAUGGAUUCACCAUGUACUGGUAGAAAAAUUUGGACAUCGGCCGAUCUUCACUUUUUUUAAGCUUAUGCAUCGAGUCCUACACUCGUACUAGCACCAAGUCUCUAGCUCAUUGAAUUUGCUGUUUGAUUUGUUGUACUGUGGCCUUGUGACCAUUUAUUGGCUUCAAGAUUGGUACUCACUGGUAGCCUUAAAACUGUGGUCCAACUUGGAGUGUGUUUGGUUGGGACAUGUAUAGAUAGGGAUGAUUAUUUAAUUUUUUUAAGGUGUUUGAUUGGAUGGUAAAUUGGAUUGAAUGGUCAUUUAAGAUGAAUAUUCUUCUCAGAUGUUGAAUGAAUUUAUUCUAUGAAAUUGGUUAGACG
Molecule: long non-coding RNA, 1334 nt
Organism: Phragmites australis (common reed)
Lineage: Eukaryota; Viridiplantae; Streptophyta; Magnoliopsida; Poales; Poaceae
Exons: 4
Source: RefSeq, a predicted model, not a curated record